This 389-nucleotide ribosomal RNA is filed under the name uncultured bacterium. RNAcentral's name for it is "bacterial SSU rRNA". It matches the Rfam family "Bacterial small subunit ribosomal RNA", at positions 28 to 409 of the family's 1533-position model. The record is from RNAcentral.
AGCGAACGCUGGCGGCGUGCUUAACACAUGCAAGUCGAGUGCGUAGCCCUUUGUAGCAAUACAGAGGGUGGGCGCACGGCGCACGGGUGAGUAACACGUGGGUAACCUGCCCUUGGUGGGGAAUAACCCCGCGAAAGCGGGGCUAAUUCCGCAUAACAUUCCGGGGACACAUGUUCUCGGACUCAAAGGAGUGAUUCGCCGGAGGAGGGGCCCGCGCCCGAUUAGCUUGUUGGUAGGGUAACGGCCACCAAGGCCUUGAUCGGUAGCCGGUCUGAGAGGAUGGCCGGCCACACUGGAACUGAGACACGGUCCAGACUCCUACGGGAGGCAGCAGUGGGGAAUCUUGCGCAAUGGGCGAAAGCCUGACGCAGCGACGCCGCGUGGGGAGU